UUCAACUUGAGAGUUUGAUCCUGGCUCAGAGCGAACGCUGGCGGCAGGCUUAACACAUGCAAGUCGAGCGGGCAUCCUCGUGGUGUCAGCGGCAGACGGGUGAGUAACACGUGGGAACGUGCCCUUCGGUUCGGAAUAACUCAGGGAAACUUGAGCUAAUAC
Molecule: ribosomal RNA, 162 nt
Filed under: Methylobacterium platani
Lineage: Bacteria; Pseudomonadati; Pseudomonadota; Alphaproteobacteria; Hyphomicrobiales; Methylobacteriaceae
Description: partial 16S ribosomal RNA
Rfam family: Bacterial small subunit ribosomal RNA
Source: RNAcentral